AAUAGCCGCAAUUUGUGCUAAGGUAGCAUAAUCAUUUGUCUUUUAAAUGAAGACUAGAACAAAAGAUUUAACAUUUCAAUUUAUUUAUUUAAUUUACUAUUCAAAAUUAUUCCAAAUGUAAAAAAAAAAAACAUUUCUAAAAAAGAAAGACGACAAGACCCUAUUGAACUUAGCUUAAGUUUAACUGGGGCAGUUAAUUAAUUAUUAUUUUAAUAAACUUUAUUAAUAUAUUAUCCAGUAUAAUUGAAUUAUUAAGUUACCAUAGGGAUAACAGCGCAAUUAUUUUUUAAAGUUYUUAUAUAAAAAAUAGAUUACGACCUCGAUGUUGAAAUAAUUAUYUAUUUUAAGCAAAUUUUUAAAAAGGAAGCCUGUUCGACUUUUAAAUUAUUACAUGAUUUGAGUUCAGACCGGUGUAAGCCAGGUCGGUUUCUAUCUUCUAUAAAGUUUCUUACAGUACGAAAGGACCUAAAAAUAUAAUUUAAUUAUUUAAUUGGCAGAAAAAUGCAUUAGAAUUAGAAUCUAACUAAACUUAUAUU
This 536-nucleotide ribosomal RNA is filed under the name Agobardus cf. anormalis montanus JXZ-2013. RNAcentral's name for it is "partial 16S ribosomal RNA". The stretch from base 144 to 438 matches the Rfam family "Bacterial large subunit ribosomal RNA", at positions 2074 to 2646 of the family's 2925-position model. Lineage: Eukaryota; Metazoa; Arthropoda; Arachnida; Araneae; Salticidae. The record is from RNAcentral.